Acinonyx jubatus (cheetah) is the source of this 1790-nucleotide long non-coding RNA. RefSeq lists it as uncharacterized. The record is from RefSeq and is a predicted model, not a curated record. The transcript is spliced from 2 exons. Lineage: Eukaryota; Metazoa; Chordata; Mammalia; Carnivora; Felidae.
CCCCGGCCCCCCCCCCCCCGGAGCCCCCGGAGCCCCCGCCGCGGGCCCCUCCCCCCAGACCUUCGCCUGCCGGCAAUAAACUCCUCUCGGCCCCGGGGCGCCUCGAUGGGGCGCCCCGGAGCCCGGGGUCGCGGCCUUCCUGGGCACCCACGGUGCCCCUGGGCUGUUCGCAACUCCGCCUCGACCUCCAUGUCAGGGUAAGGACGGGGCUCUGAAGGCCAGGUGCCGCCCGGCAGAUAGCCCUGCGUGAGGACCAGGGGGGCACCAUCCUAGAGGCGGCCCCCACCCCACCCCACCCCACCCCACCCCCGCGGGCCACAACUUUGCCCAGACCCCUCGCCACAGCCACGCCUGCUUCUUCACUUCGGUCUUCACAGCACCAAGGAUUCAGGCACGUCGGGGCUCCCGGAAAAGGGUGGUUUCCUGUCACCCCGCACCUGGGCCUGCAGGCACCUUGCUGGCUGAGGAGGCUGCUGGGGCCAGGACGCGGUACAGUCCUCCAGGGGCACCUCCUAGGGAGCCCAGCGGUCCUACUACACAGAGAGGAGAUGGUGACACAGAAUGGAGAGACUUGUCCCAAGUCACUUAGGUACUGAUGUUCACCCCCUCAGUGACCAUCCCAGACUGGGAGACCCAAGGAUCGGUUGAGGCAGGCGGCCCCAGAGCAACCCUUGCCCCCUCCAGGAGGCCAUCUGGGUGAUGGGCCUAGAUCUGUGAAGAGAUGAGAUCCCAUUUCCCCCGCUCGGGGGCCUCUAGUCUACUGACAGAGACAAAGCAAUAAUCAAAUAAACCGUUAUAAUACAGUAUAAUGCCAGUAGUGAUGUGUUCUAGAGAGAAAAAUCAUUAGUAUGUCUGUGAGUGAGGGGACGUGGUGGAUAAUCCAGAUCAGUAGGUCAGGGAGGGGCUGGCUGCCUGAGGAGCAGACAGUGGAGCCAAGACAAGGAAGUGAAGGCUUGAGCAAUGCAGAAGGAACAGCCGUGCAAGGGCCCUGAGGCAGCAAUCAGCAAGUGCUAUUCCAGCACUAGCUGGACCAGAGUUGGGCGAGUGGGGUAGGGGGUAAAACCUGAGGGAUAAGAGAUGGGAGCAGGUGGGUGGGGAGUUUGAACUUUAUCCAAGGUGUGGUAUGUAAAUUGGAAGGCUUUUAGCAGGGGCAUAAUGUGGCCUGACUCUUGGAAAAUAACACUCUGAUUAUUUCAGGGAUAAGAAUCUUAUUUGGGGCGCCUGGGUGGCUCAGUCAGUUGAACGUUUGACUCUUGAUUUCGGCUCAGGUCAUGAUCUUGCGGUUCAUGAGUUCGAGGCCCCCAUCAGGCUCUGUGCUGACAGUGCAGAGCCUGCUGGGGAUUCUCUCUUCCUUUCUCUCUGCCCUUCCCUUGCUUGUGUACACAUGUGCACUCUCUUGCUCGCUCUCUCUCUCUCUCUAAAAAAUAAAUAAACAUGAAAAAAACUUAACUGAAGAGUAACUGACAUACAAAAUUGUAUUCAUUUCAGGUAUACAACGCAGUGAUUAGAUAUAGAUGUACAAUAAGAAAUGGUCACCACAGUAAAGAGAGACAGAGCUCGAGCAGGGGAGGAACAGAGAGAGAGGGAGACACAGAAUCCGAAACAGGCUCCAGGCUCCGAGCUGUCGGCACAGAGCCCGACGCGGGGCUCGAACCCACGAACCGCGAGAUCAUGACCUGAGCCGAUGUCGGACGCUCGACCGACUGAGCCACCCAGGCGCCCCAAUCAUGUUCAUCUUUAAACUCCAUCCACCAAUUGGGCAAAGACUUAAUAAAAAUCCAGCUGCUCUA